UUAAAUUGAAGAGUUUGAUCAUGGCUCAGAUUGAACGCUGGCGGCAGGCCUAACACAUGCAAGUCGAACGGUAACAGGAAGCAGCUUGCUGCUUUGCUGACGAGUGGCGGACGGGUGAGUAAUGUCUGGGAAACUGCCUGAUGGAGGGGGAUAA
This 154-nucleotide ribosomal RNA is filed under the name Escherichia coli. Its description in RNAcentral is "partial 16S ribosomal RNA". It matches the Rfam family "Bacterial small subunit ribosomal RNA", at positions 1 to 146 of the family's 1533-position model. Lineage: Bacteria; Pseudomonadati; Pseudomonadota; Gammaproteobacteria; Enterobacterales; Enterobacteriaceae. RNAcentral also lists the same sequence under 9 other names. The record is from RNAcentral.